UAGAAAAUAGAAUGAAAAAAUGCGAUUAUGGAAGGAUUCACAGAUGUACAUGCUUCAUUUUGUGAAAAUCGUCAGGAUUUAUAGUAGAACGGGGAAGGGAAAAGGAUGAUGGAAAAAAACAAAAUUACAGAACUAUGAUGAGAUGUGGGAGCCGAAAUAAUGCCAAUGAGGAGGAGAUAAUUAGAAACAAGAAUUUCAAUGGGAUGCAGUUUUCCUUUAGAGCUGAAGAGGGUCAAAUUUAUAUUAUUUGCAGGACAUGAAGCAGUUUCUGGGAGAGAAGCUGAAGAUGCUGAGAAAAAUUUUCCAUUUUCCAAAAAGUCAUUAAAGAGUUUAACACAUUUGACACGGAGAGCCUUACAGAAUAUGGAAAUAAAAGCUAAAGUUAGUGAAUCAAGAUCAGAUUCUCGAAACAGUUCCAGCUCAAUAUCACUGAGAACAUUUGAUGGACCUUCCAGCAAAGAGACUGAAUUUUGAAGGAGAAGUAGUGGAUUCUCGGAACAGUUGUGUAAAAGUUCAACAAGUCUUCGGUAAAUGCUGCCCAUGUCACUUGCACACACGUUAUUGUCUUCAGCAAUUCUCAUGUAGAAGUGAGCAGAGGAUCUCCAGAGCCAUCUUUAUGGAAAAGUUUAGAAACUGAACGCAGAAGGAGAGACGUGUUUGAUUCAGACCAGGCAGAGGAAUUAAUGUUUAAUUUGUGAUCUUUCUCUAUGUUACAUAUUUCCUUAAGACAGACAUCUGAGAAUUGGAGAAGAGGGUGGACUGCACAUUUAAAAGAAUGAAACGUAUCGUUAUUUACACUUUUUCCAAGAAGUUUGUUAACUUUUUCUUCUGUGGCACUCCUGUCUGUCAUGAAGUUUGAAAUUUUUUGUAAAAUUUGACCUUUAUCAGAACUAACUGUAUCGUUUAGAAUUUCGUUGGUGCAGUCGACGUAUGUGGAGCUUUUGGAGUCAGCAACUUCUCUUAAACCCAGUGUCAGUGUUUUUUGAGUGGUGGAUACUUCAACACCAUAAAAGUGUUUUCCUUUUUUUGUCGUCGCAUCUCUGUGCAACGUUAAAUUUGACUCCUGCUGUAUUUCCUCUGCAACCUGAGCACGGCUCAAAAUACCAAGUUCACUUGUCAUAUUUGAAAUUGUACUUACUGAAGGAAGAUCAGAAAUUUGAACGUCUACUAAAGAAAGGACUUCUUGAAUCAAUGGAUUUAUGAGUUCCAGUGAAAUGUUUCUGGCUCUGAAGAAGUAAUACAAUUUUCAUAAUUUUGCAGAGAAAGGCUUGCCUUGAGAUUUAUCCUUGGCAUUCAAUAUGAUUGGCUUUGAAGUGGAAGGACAUUCAUUGCAUGUUUUGUUUUCGCUGUUUUACUUCAUGAAAUCCAGUUCUUGUUGUAAAUCAAUAAUUGUUUGCUUUGUCAAAUUGCAUUGUGUUGAUUUUUUGGUUUUAACAUUUUUUGUGUUUAUAAAGGAGAUUUGAUCCUGCAAAGUUUUCACAUUUUUUUUUUCAAAUUUAUGAUUGUUCUCAUGUUUCUUUGUAACUUGGCAUUAGCUCUAUACAUUUGUGCUUGUUUUUCUUGUAAUUUAUUUUUUAAUUGAAGAAUUUCAUUCUGCAGACUGUUAAUUUCAUUGUUUGCUUUGGAAAUAUCUUUCUUGGGUUCAGAUGUCUUAGGAAAAACAAAUGAACAGGAGCAAAAAGAGUGAUAUUCCUCUUUCCUUCUAGAAUUUUUCCGCAGUUUGUUCAUUUCCUGGAUGAUGUGUUUUGCUUUGUUGUAUAAACUAAAUUUGUUUAUUGUAUUUGGGUCAGUUCUAGUUAAUUCGCACAUUUUUUCAUGAAACAGGGAAACAAUUCCACGACAGGAAAAGUAGAUUUCUUUCAUUUGUAUCAAAUUCAUUUUUGUUUGACAGUUCAAAAAUAAUUGUAAACUGUAACUUAAUUUUUACCUCACUUCCUAGUGUUUUGAAAGUAGUAAAUAUGGCAUAUUACAAUAUACAAAAACUUAAACUUGGUUGUAAAAUGAAUAUAUGAAAAAUAUUCAAGUGUAUGUGUAAAAUAUUAUUUUAGACUAAGAGAAUUUAAGAUAGUUACCUUUGAAAUGAGGUGAUGCACCAGAAAGUGCUCAGAUGCAAUUUCCACUAUUCCAUCAAUUAACUUCUGCUUGCUAAAAAAUUUAAAAAGAAGGAUAAAUUCUUCAAGGACAUGAUUAUGUAAUUAAGAGGCUGUCUAUUCUAUAUAAAAAAAAAAUAAAAUUAAAAAA
Molecule: long non-coding RNA, 2241 nt
Organism: Saccostrea echinata
Lineage: Eukaryota; Metazoa; Mollusca; Bivalvia; Ostreida; Ostreidae
Exons: 4
Source: RefSeq, a predicted model, not a curated record